UGAGGAAUAUUGGUCAAUGGGCGAGAGCCUGAACCAGCCAAGUAGCGUGCAGGAUGACGGCCCUAUGGGUUGUAAACUGCUUUUAUAUGGGAAUAAAGUGAGGGACGUGUCCCUUAUUGCAGGUACCAUAUGAAUAAGGACCGGCUAAUUCCGUGCCAGCAGCCGCGGUAAUACGGAAGGUCCAGGCGUUAUCCGGAUUUAUUGGGUUUAAAGGGAGCGUAGGCUGUUUGUUAAGCGUGUUGUGAAAUGUAAGAGCUCAACUUUUAGAUUGCAGCGCGAACUGGCAGACUUGAGUGCGCACAACGUAGGCGGAAUUCAUGGUGUAGCGGUGAAAUGCUUAGAUAUCAUGAAGAACUCCGAUUGCGAAGGCAGCUUACGGGAGCGCAACUGACGCUGAAGCUCGAAGGUGCGGGUAUCGAACAGG
This 424-nucleotide ribosomal RNA is filed under the name Verrucomicrobiota bacterium. RNAcentral describes it as "Verrucomicrobia bacterium partial 16S ribosomal RNA". It matches the Rfam family "Bacterial small subunit ribosomal RNA", at positions 355 to 776 of the family's 1533-position model. Lineage: Bacteria; Pseudomonadati; Verrucomicrobiota. The record is from RNAcentral.